RNAcentral lists this ribosomal RNA (775 nucleotides) under uncultured Neocallimastigales. Its description in RNAcentral is "partial large subunit ribosomal RNA". It matches the Rfam family "Eukaryotic large subunit ribosomal RNA", at positions 24 to 616 of the family's 3401-position model. The record is from RNAcentral. Lineage: Eukaryota; Fungi; Neocallimastigomycota; Neocallimastigomycetes; Neocallimastigales.
UACGACUACAUAUCAGGCAUAUCAAUAAGCGGAGGAAAAGAAACUAACUAAGGAUUCCCUCAGUAACGGCGAGUGAAGCGGGAAGAGCUCAAAUUUGAAAUCUUCAAGGUUUUACCUUGACGAAUUGUAGUUUAAAGAAGUGUUUUCUGUUGAAGUUUUGGUAAAAGUUCUUUGGAAUAGGACAUCAUAGAGGGUGAGAAUCCCGUAUUUGACCAUUAUUUUCAGCUGUGUGAUACACUUUCAAAGAGUCGGAUUGUUUGGGAAUGCAGUCCAAAAUGGGUGGUAAAUUUCAUCUAAAGCUAAAUAUUGGCGAGAGACCGAUAGCGAACAAGUACCGUGAGGGAAAGAUGAAAAGAACUUUGAAAAGAGAGUUAAACAGUACGUGAAAUUGUCAAAAGGGAAGCGUUUGACACCAGUGUUGUUUUCUCGAAAAUCAAUUAAAAAAAGUUGGAUUUUGUGUUGUAUUGACCUUAACAGCUUGCUUCACUCUUUUCCAGCUUUUUUUAAUGCACUUUUCGUUUAACAAGUCAACAUCAGUUUCUUUUGUUGUAAAAGGGUCAUUGGAAGGUGGCUUUCUCUUCGGAGAAAGUGUUUAUAGCCUUUGAUCUCUGCAAUCGGAGAGACUGAGGUCUGCAGCGUAGAUCCUUCGGGGUUAGAUACAUUUGUGCUAAGCUACAGCUUUUCAUAGACAACUUGUUGACUAUGUUUAGUCUUGUGACUUACCCGCUUAUGCUAUUUUACCUACGCUUAGGAUGUUGAGCGCAUGUCUCUCUCU